This 73-nucleotide transfer RNA is filed under the name Felis catus (domestic cat). It matches the Rfam family "tRNA". From Rfam's summary of the family: Transfer RNA (tRNA) molecules are approximately 80 nucleotides in length. Their secondary structure includes four short double-helical elements and three loops (D, anti-codon, and T loops). Lineage: Eukaryota; Metazoa; Chordata; Mammalia; Carnivora; Felidae. The record is from Rfam by way of RNAcentral. RNAcentral also lists the same sequence under 2 other names.
GCCUGGCUGGCUCAGUUGGUAGAGCAUGUGACUCUUGAUCUCAGGGUUGUGACUGUGAGCCCCAUGUUAGGUG